GCCAUUCUUCUAAUUGUUCUUUUAUCGUUCUCAUUCGCUUGUUCGGGAUACCUUUGAUUCUUGAUAUAUUCUAAGAUAUCAUGGAACCAAGGCCGUCCGUCUACUUCUUUCUCAAUGUUACAACAGUGUGCAGGGACCUCGUAUAUGCUCAUUUUGAGGGGCAUUAUUUCUGCUUCUCUACUUGCUUUGAACAUUGAAGCCAAAGUGGCUAGGGCAUCAG
RNAcentral lists this long non-coding RNA (220 nucleotides) under Gossypium barbadense (sea-island cotton). RNAcentral's name for it is "long non-coding RNA (GBAR_LNC015227)". Lineage: Eukaryota; Viridiplantae; Streptophyta; Magnoliopsida; Malvales; Malvaceae. The record is from RNAcentral.